AUUGAACGCUGGCGGCAGGCCUAACACAUGCAAGUCGAGCGAGCGGCUGACGGGUGAGUAAUGUAUGGGGACUGCCCGAUAGAAGGGGAUAACUACUGGAAACGGUAGCUAAUACCGCAUACUAUCGGAUAACCCAUAUGGGAUUAGCUGGUAGGUGAGGUAAUGGCUCAACUAGGCGACGAUCCCUAGCUGGUCUGAGAGGAUGAUCAGCCACACUGGGACUGAGACACGGCCCAGACUCCUACGGAGGCAGCAGUGGGGAAUAUUGCACAAUGGGCGCAAGACUGAUGCAGCCAUGCCGCGUGUAUGAAGAAGGCCCUAUGGUUGUAAAGUACUUUCAGUCGGGAGGCGUUACCGACAGAAGAAGCACCGGCUAACUCCGUGCCUGCAGCCGCGGUAAUAC
This 403-nucleotide ribosomal RNA is filed under the name uncultured bacterium. RNAcentral's name for it is "partial 16S ribosomal RNA". It matches the Rfam family "Bacterial small subunit ribosomal RNA", at positions 30 to 526 of the family's 1533-position model. The record is from RNAcentral.